This 365-nucleotide unclassified non-coding RNA is filed under the name fungal sp. Its description in RNAcentral is "partial internal transcribed spacer region". The stretch from base 1 to 46 matches the Rfam family "Eukaryotic small subunit ribosomal RNA", at positions 1786 to 1831 of the family's 1831-position model. Lineage: Eukaryota; Fungi. The record is from RNAcentral.
AAGUCGUAACAAGGUUUCCGUAGGUGAACCUGCGGAAGGAUCAUUAACACGUAUCCAACGUUAAACCCCCUGUGAACCUUCAUUGUACGAGUUACAUCCACGUCAUAAACCGGCAAUCUCUGGUAAAAUCAUCGCCGAACAGUUUUGAUUCAGAGACCUCUGGGCCUCUGCUUGUUAGUGUCUGAAAGUGUCACUAGCUAUGUACGGAUGGCGCAGUAACGAUCGCUGGAGUCCGACACGGCCGGCGACCAGGUCACUGGGCUACGGCCCCCCUGAUCACAACCUUUGCAUGAAAACGGGCCUGCGCUGAGGUGCGGCCACCCCUAAUGCUUGAACAACUGUUAACAAUGGAUAUCUUGGUUCUC